ACCGGCAAACGGGUGCGGAACACGUACACAACCUUCCUUUUAGUGGAGAAUAGCCCAGGGAAACUUGGAUUAAUACUCCGUAACAUAUAGAAGUGGCAUCACUUUUAUAUUAUAGCAGCAAUGCGCUAGAAGAUGGGUGUGCGGCUGAUUAGAUAGUUGGCGGGGUAACGGCCCACCAAGUCGACGAUCAGUAACUGGUGUGAGAGCACGACCAGUCACACGGGCACUGAGACACGGGCCCGACUCCUACGGGAGGCAGCAGUAAGGAAUAUUGGUCAAUGGACGCAAGUCUGAACCAGCCAUGCCGCGUGGAGGAUGAAGGUCCUCUGGAUUGUAAACUUCUUUUAUCUGGGAAGAAAUCCAUUUUUUCUAAAAUGGUUGACGGUACCAGAUGAAUAAGCACCGGCUAACUCCGUGCCAGCAGCCGCGGUAAUACGGAGGGUGCAAGCGUUAUCCGGAUUCACUGGGUUUAAAGGGUGCGUAGGUGGGCAAGUAAGUCAGUGGUGAAAUCUCCGGGCUUAACCCGGAAACUGCCAUUGAUACUAUUUGUCUUGAAUACUGUGGAGGUCAGCGGAAUAUGUCAUGUAGCGGUGAAAUGCUUAGAUAUGACAUAGAACACCAAUUGCGAAGGCAGCUGGCUACACAAAUAUUGACACUGAGGCACGAAAGCGUGGGGAUCAAACAGGAUUAGAUACCCUGGUAGUCCACGCCGUAAACUAUGGAUACUCGACAUUUGCGAUAAACUGCAAGUGUCUGAGCGAAAGCAUUAA
This 770-nucleotide ribosomal RNA is filed under the name uncultured bacterium. RNAcentral's name for it is "bacterial SSU rRNA". It matches the Rfam family "Bacterial small subunit ribosomal RNA", at positions 94 to 863 of the family's 1533-position model. The record is from RNAcentral.